CCUACGGGAGGCUGCAGUGGGGAAUAUUGCACAAUGGGGGAAACCCUGAUGCAGCGACGCCGCGUGAGUGAUGAAGUAUUUCGGUAUGUAAAGCUCUAUCAGCGGGGAAGAUAAUGACGGUACCUGACUAAUCAGCUCCGGGCAAAUACGUGCAAGCAGCCGCGGUCAUACUCAGGGAGCACGCGUGAUCCGGAUUGACUGGGUGUAAAGGGAGCGCAGACGGCAGGGCAAGGCUGGUGUGAAAGCCCGGGGCUCAACCGCGGGACUGCAUUGGAAACUGUCAGGCUAGAGUGCAGGCGAGGGAAGUGGAAUUCCUGGUGUAGCGGUGAAAUGCGUAGAGAUUAGGAGGAACACCAGUGGCGAAGGCGGCGUACUGGACUGUAAAUGACGUUGAGGCUCGAAAGCGUGGGGAGCAAACAGGAUUAGAUACCCGAGUAGUC
This 440-nucleotide ribosomal RNA is filed under the name uncultured bacterium. Its description in RNAcentral is "partial 16S ribosomal RNA". It matches the Rfam family "Bacterial small subunit ribosomal RNA", at positions 338 to 795 of the family's 1533-position model. The record is from RNAcentral.